ACCGCAUCUCAUUUAUCAGACGGCAUUGCCGUCUUACGGGCUUCUCAUCGGAAGCAAAGGAUUGAAAGGGUAAACAUAACAUCUACACACUGCAGUCUCCUUACUUUGUGCAUGCAGAGAAGGAAUUUUUACUCAUACAAAUCGGGCGCAUAAAAACAGAUUUGAAAUUACUGGUUAUGAGAGAAACUAAUGACAACAGAGUCAGGGCGGCUAGGUGGUCUAGUGGAGUAAGUCUCCGGUAAAGCAUCGCUAGAUACCGGGUUUGAUUCCUGGAUCCGUCGUGAAUUUUUCAAAAUCACCGGUUGUUCAAAUUUA
This 315-nucleotide long non-coding RNA is filed under the name Neodiprion lecontei (redheaded pine sawfly). RNAcentral describes it as "uncharacterized LOC124294773". Lineage: Eukaryota; Metazoa; Arthropoda; Insecta; Hymenoptera; Diprionidae. The record is from RNAcentral.